This is a non-coding RNA of Lolium perenne, 1153 nucleotides long. The record is from RefSeq and is a predicted model, not a curated record. Lineage: Eukaryota; Viridiplantae; Streptophyta; Magnoliopsida; Poales; Poaceae.
UCCUCUAGAGACGGCGGCGGCUCGGCCCGGCCAUGGAGAUGGACCUCAGUGCGGUUGGAGGUGAGAGCGGGAGGAGGCGCUGGAGGAGCGUAUCCUAGAGGAGGGUGGCGGCGACCGGACGGAGCUAGAUCGGAUGUCCACGGUGGUACGCCGCCUCUUCCCCGGGUCGCCAGACAGCCGAACGCGGCGAUGACCAGACGCGGCGGCUGUACGCGGCGGAGGCUCGCCGGACGGCCGGAUGCGGCGGCGCGGCGGCGGCGCAGCGGCUGAACGCUGCAGCGGUGGAGGCUCACCGGAGUUUGAUGCUUAGGAGGCGCGGGUCAGGCGGCGGCGGGCCUCCACGAGUAAGCUUUGACCUGGAUUUGGGCAAAGAGAAUUGUCAAAGAAGGUGAUUUGGAGAAGGGAUCUCACUAUUACUCGCUAAACUGUUACAUGACACUAAAAAAUGAUCCACCUACUGAAGAAUUUUGUGCUGAUGGGAUUAUGUGCUUUGAGUAUCAGCAUUCAGCAAUGAAUGCUGAUGAAACUCCCCCGUGUAUUCUUGAAGUUAAGUGUCACGUUCAACAAUUCUGACCGGCAAAUGCAUCAUUUUUCUUAUAUUUAUUCACAGUUUAUAUAUCCGGCAAGUGCUCGUCUCGGUGGCCAUGUAUUAGCUAAAUAUAAUUUUCUCCUUUUGUGAAAACGAAAGCCUAAUGGAGUAGUUCCUUCAGUAGAAACAGACAAGCCUCUGAAUACUUUAGCAACAUAAUUGGAUCGUACCAUGAGACGGUGGAAUAUAAAGGGCUAUGAAGGCAGACCAAGAGAUCAUUGUUGUGUCGUUGUCUGCCUCAGUUACAUCGAGCUUUACUUCCAGAAGGAGAAAAGUCACUCUCCAACUUAAAUAGAUACUGAGAUUUUACAGGAGAUGAUACUCGGCUCUUUGAUCACAUAUCCUGGUAUUUUUGAUCCUUCAGGUCGUAGAAAUGGUAGGAUCAUGACUUCCCCGGUGGCUUGAAGAAGAUUGAUGGGUUGCUAUAUUUUGUUUCUCUUCUUCAUUUUAAGUUUAAGAAUGUGUGCACCUAAAGGAUUGCUUAGGUCACUACCAAUAGUUUAUUUUUAUUCUAUGCAUCUUAAGUAUACUCCUAGAAAGAAAUUGUACAAAUUUAGUCAUUAC